UAGGGAAUAUUGCAAAAUGGGCGAAAGCCCGAUGCAGCAACGCCGCGUGGGCGAUGAAGGCCUUCGGGUCGUAAAGCCCUUUUUGAGGGGAUGAGGAAGGACAGUACCCUCAGAAUAAGCCUCGGCUAACUACGUGCCAGCAGCCGCGGUAAAACGUAGGAGGCGAGCGUUAUCCGGAUUUACUGGGCGUAAAGCGCGUGCAGGCGGAUUGGAGAGUUGGAUGUGAAAGCUCCCGGCUUAACUGGGAGAGGUCGUUCAAUACUUCCAGUCUUGAGUGCAGUAGAGGGAAGCGGAAUUCCGGGUGUAGUGGUGAAAUGCGUAGAUAUCCGGAGGAACACCAGUGGCGAAAGCGGCUUCCUGGACUGUAACUGACGCUCAGACGCGAAAGCUAGGGUAGCAAACG
This 403-nucleotide ribosomal RNA is filed under the name uncultured bacterium. Its description in RNAcentral is "bacterial SSU rRNA". It matches the Rfam family "Bacterial small subunit ribosomal RNA", at positions 355 to 774 of the family's 1533-position model. The record is from RNAcentral.